GACGAACGCUGGCGGCGUGCUUAACACAUGCAAGUCGAACGAUGAAGCUGGAGCUUGCUCCGGUGGAUUAGUGGCGAACGGGUGAGUAACACGUGAGAAAUCUGCCCUUCACUCUGGGAUAACUGCGGGAAACUGUAGCUAAUACCGGAUACUUUCCCUGGUGGGCAUCCACUAGGGAAGAAAGAAUUUCGGUGAAGGAUGAUCGCGCGGCCUAUCAGCUAGUUGGUGAGGUAAUGGCUCACCAAGGCGACGACGGGUAGCCGGCCUGAGAGGGUGACCGGCCACACUGGGACUGAGACACGGCCCAGACUCCUACGGGAGGCAGCAGUGGGGAAUAUUGCACAAUGGGCGAAAGCCUGAUGCAGCAACGCCGCGAGGGAUGAAGGCCUUCGGGUUGUAAACCUUUUUUAGCAGGGAAGAAGCGAAAGUGACGGUACCUGCAGAAAAAGCACCGGCUAACUACGUGCCAGCAGCCGCCGUAA
RNAcentral lists this ribosomal RNA (482 nucleotides) under uncultured bacterium. RNAcentral's name for it is "partial 16S ribosomal RNA". It matches the Rfam family "Bacterial small subunit ribosomal RNA", at positions 28 to 523 of the family's 1533-position model. The record is from RNAcentral.